UGCAAAUACACAAAAGUAUCAAAACUUUAUGUAAUUGCAUAAAAGGCCCCAAAAGUACCCCCACUAGGGGUGGCCGGUUUUGGAAGAGGAUAUGAUGUGAUGUGUGUUGAUUUGUGAGUUUUAGACAUAAAGCAACAAGUGGUGCAAGUGGUGUGUGUGAAAGGGAAUUAAUCCUUACACACCCAUCACCAUUUCCAUCACCAUUCAAAUAAAUAUCUUAUGCAAUAAAUCAUUUGAAAAACAUAAAACACAAACUUUAUGAAAUAAAUCAAAACUUUGAAUCAAAACACAAACCUUUUUGUUCUUGGCAAAAAUGUCAAGAACAAUGAAGAACAUUCAUGAAAAACCCAAAAUUUUUCCAUGAACUUUUUUCACCCAAAAACAUUCCAAAACCAUUCAAACUUUAGGGAAAUAACAUCUAACCAAACUAGGGUACAUAAGGGUUCCAAAAGUCACUUGAAAACACUUUUAACAAGUCAAACAAGAACCCAAAAAUCCACCCUUUGUAUUUGGCCGAAAAUUCCCAAAGUCAUGGCACCAAAUUUUAGCUCCAAUAUUCAUGCUCAUAUGAACUACAUCUACAACAUUUGAGAUGGCAAAUUUUCUAGCAAAAUUUACAUUCAAAAAACAAGAAUAAAGCUUGUAACAAUUACAACUUUUAAAUCACAAACUAUGAACCACAAAACCCAAAAGGAUUCACCAACUACUAGACCUAGGCUCUGAUACCACUUGAAGGAAUAUUUUGUGAAAAACAUGUUCAUUUAAGCAACAUCAUAUAGCAUGCAAUUAACAAUUAAAGGCGGAAUCAUGCUAGCAUGCA
Molecule: long non-coding RNA, 820 nt
Filed under: Malus domestica (apple)
Lineage: Eukaryota; Viridiplantae; Streptophyta; Magnoliopsida; Rosales; Rosaceae
Description: long non-coding RNA (MDOM_LNC005951)
Source: RNAcentral